This 253-nucleotide ribosomal RNA is filed under the name uncultured bacterium. RNAcentral describes it as "partial 16S ribosomal RNA". It matches the Rfam family "Bacterial small subunit ribosomal RNA", at positions 524 to 776 of the family's 1533-position model. The record is from RNAcentral.
UACGAAGGGGGCUAGCGUUGCUCGGAAUUACUGGGCGUAAAGCGCACGUAGGCGGCUCUUUAAGUCGGGGGUGAAAUCCUGGAGCUCAACUCCAGAACUGCCUUCGAUACUGAAGAGCUCGAGUCCGGGAGAGGUGAGUGGAACUGCGAGUGUAGAGGUGAAAUUCGUAGAUAUUCGGAAGAACACCAGUGGCGAAGGCGGCUCACUGGACUGGUAUUGACGCUGAGGUGCGAAAGCGUGGGGAGCAAACAGG